Molecule: ribosomal RNA, 380 nt
Filed under: Fuligo septica var. flava
Lineage: Eukaryota; Evosea; Eumycetozoa; Physariida; Physaraceae
Description: SSU rRNA
Rfam family: Bacterial small subunit ribosomal RNA
Source: RNAcentral
ACUGAGGGAAUAACCUCUUUAAUCUGCGCUUCACUGAUUAUUUUGAGUGCAGAAGACGGUUUUAGAAUUCCUGAAGAAAGGGUAAAAUUGUUGAUAUAGGAAAACUUUCGAUGGCGAAAGCAUUUACCGAUUCUGUUCUGACGCUAGGUACUAAAGCUUGGGGAGAAAGAGGAUUAGAGACCUCGUAGUCCUUGCCUUAAACAAUGAGUGUUCAACGUCUUASAAUACUCGGAUUCACUUAAUUGAUGCGAUCCUARAGGAUUCUUGGGGGUUUAAAGCUAACGCGUGAAACACCGCCUGGGGAAUGUGGCCGCAAGGUUAAACUCCAAGGAAUUGACGGAGACUCAUACNAGGAGUGGAGCAUGUGGUUUAAUUCGAGA